CUCCUAAGGCUAAAUACUCUCUAGUGACCGAUAGUGAACCAGUACCGUGAGGGAAAGGUGAAAAGCACCCCGGAAGGGGAGUGAAAUAGAACCUGAAACCGUGUGCUUACAAGUAGUCAGAGCCCGUUAAUGGGUGAUGGCGUGCCUUUUGUAGAAUGAACCGGCGAGUUACGAUUUGAUGCAAGGUUAAGCAGUAAAUGUGGAGCCGUAGCGAAAGCGAGUCUGAAUAGGGCGUUUAGUAUUUGGUCGUAGACCCGAAACCAGGUGAUCUACCCUUGGUCAGGUUGAAGUUCAGGUAACACUGAAUGGAGGACCGAACCGACUUACGUUGAAAAGUGAGCGGAUGAACUGAGGGUAGCGGAGAAAUUCCAAUCGAACCUGGAGAUAGCUGGUUCUCUCCGAAAUAGCUUUAGGGCUAGCCUCAAGUGAUGAUUAUUGGAGGUAGAGCACUGUUUGGACGAGGGGCCCCUCUCGGGUUACCGAAUUCAGACAAACUCCGAAUGCCAAUUAAUUUAACUUGGGAGUCAGAACAUGGGUGAUAAGGUCCGUGUUCGAAAGGGAAACAGCCCAGACCACCAGCUAAGGUCCCAAAAUAUAUGUUAAGUGGAAAAGGAUGUGGCGUUGCCCAGACAACUAGGAUGUUGGCUUAGAAGCAGCCAUCAUUUAAAGAGUGCGUAAUAGCUCACUAGUCGAGUGACACUGCGCCGAAAAUGUACCGGGGCUAAACAUAUUACCGAAGCUGUGGAUUGUCCUUUGGACAAUGGUAGGAGAGCGUUCUAAGGGCGUUGAAGCAUGAUCGUAAGGACAUGUGGAGCGCUUAGAAGUGAGAAUGCCGGUGUGAGUAGCGAAAGACGGGUGAGAAUCCCGUCCACCGAUUGGCUAAGGUUUCCAGAGGAAGGCUCGUCCGCUCUGGGUUAGUCGGGUCCUAAGCUGAGGCCGACAGGCGUAGGCGAUGGAUAACAGGUUGAUAUUCCUGUACCACCUAUAAUCGUUUUAAUCGAUGGGGGGACGCAGUAGGAUAGGCGAAGCGUGCGAUUGGAUUGCACGUCUAAGCAGUAAGGCUGAGUAUUAGGCAAAUCCGGUACUCGUUAAGGCUGAGCUGUGAUGGGGAGAAGACAUUGUGUCUUCGAGUCGUUGAUUUCACACUGCCGAGAAAAGCCUCUAGAUAGAAAAUAGGUGCCCGUACCGCAAACCGACACAGGUAGUCAAGAUGAGAAUUCUAAGGUGAGCGAGCGAACUCUCGUUAAGGAACUCGGCAAAAUGACCCCGUAACUUCGGGAGAAGGGGUGCUCUUUAGGGUUAACGCCCAGAAGAGCCGCAGUGAAUAGGCCCAAGCGACUGUUUAUCAAAAACACAGGUCUCUGCUAAACCGUAAGGUGAUGUAUAGGGGCUGACGCCUGCCCGGUGCUGGAAGGUUAAGAGGAGUGGUUAGCUUCUGCGAAGCUACGAAUCGAAGCCCCAGUAAACGGCGGCCGUAACUAUAACGGUCCUAAGGUAGCGAAAUUCCUUGUCGGGUAAGUUCCGACCCGCACGAAAGGCGUAACGAUUUGGGCACUGUCUCAACGAGAGACUCGGUGAAAUCAUAGUACCUGUGAAGAUGCAGGUUACCCGCGACAGGACGGAAAGACCCCGUGGAGCUUUACUGUAGCCUGAUAUUGAAAUUCGGCACAGCUUGUACAGGAUAGGUAGGAGCCUUUGAAACGUGAGCGCUAGCUUACGUGGAGGCGCUGGUGGGAUACUACCCUAGCUGUGUUGGCUUUCUAACCCGCACCACUUAUCGUGGUGGGAGACAGUGUCAGGCGGGCAGUUUGACUGGGGCGG
RNAcentral lists this ribosomal RNA (1821 nucleotides) under Staphylococcus aureus. RNAcentral's name for it is "partial 23S ribosomal RNA". It matches the Rfam family "Bacterial large subunit ribosomal RNA", at positions 457 to 2282 of the family's 2925-position model. The record is from RNAcentral. Lineage: Bacteria; Bacillati; Bacillota; Bacilli; Caryophanales; Staphylococcaceae.